This 689-nucleotide ribosomal RNA is filed under the name uncultured bacterium. RNAcentral's name for it is "bacterial SSU rRNA". It matches the Rfam family "Bacterial small subunit ribosomal RNA", at positions 54 to 723 of the family's 1533-position model. The record is from RNAcentral.
CAUGCAAGUCGAGCGGAACGAGUUAUCAAGCCUUCGGGUGGAGAUAACGGCGUCGAGCGGCGGACGGGUGAGUAAUGCCUGGGAAAUUCGCCCUGAUGUGGGGGAUAACCAUUGGAAACGAUGGCUAAUACCGCAUAAUAGCUUCGGCUCAAAGAGGGGGACCUUCGGGCCUCUCGCGUCAGGAUAUGCCCAGGUGGGAUUAGCUAGUUGGUGAGGUAAUGGCUCACCAAGGCGACGAUCCCUAGCUGGUCUGAGAGGAUGAUCAGCCGCACUGGAACUGAGACACGGUCCAGACUCCUACGGGAGGCAGCAGUGGGGAAUAUUGCACAAUGGGCGCAAGCCUGAUGCAGCCAUGCCGCGUGUAUGAAGAAGGCCUUCGGGUUGUAAAGUACUUUCAGCAGUGAGGAAGGUGGUGUCGUUAAUAGCGGCAUCAUUUGACGUUAGCUGCAGAAGAAGCACCGGCUAACUCCGUGCCAGCAGCCGCGGUAAUACGGAGGGUGCGAGCGUUAAUCGGAAUUACUGGGCGUAAAGCGCAUGCAGGUGGUUUGUUAAGUCAGAUGUGAAAGCCCGGGGCUCAACCUCGGAAUUGCAUUUGAAACUGGCAGACUAGAGUACUGUAGAGGGGGGUAGAAUUUCAGGUGUAGCGGUGAAAUGCGUAGAGAUCUGAAGGAAUACCGGUGGCGAAGGCG